This 353-nucleotide unclassified non-coding RNA is filed under the name soil metagenome. RNAcentral's name for it is "partial contains 5.8S ribosomal RNA, internal transcribed spacer 2, and large subunit ribosomal RNA". The stretch from base 1 to 120 matches the Rfam family "5.8S ribosomal RNA", at positions 35 to 154 of the family's 154-position model. The record is from RNAcentral.
GAUGAAGAACGUAGCGAAAUGCGAUACGUAAUGUGAAUUGCAGAAUUCAGUGAAUCAUCGAAUCUUUGAACGCACAUUGCGCCCGCCAGUAUUCUGGCGGGCAUGCCUGUUCGAGCGUCAUUACAACCCUCAGGCCCCCGGGCCUGGCGUUGGGGAUCGGCGAGGCGCCCCCCGCGGGCACGCGCCGUCCCCCAAAUACAGUGGCGGUCCCGCCGCAGCUUCCAUUGCGUAGUAGCUAACACCUCGCAACUGGAGAGCGGCGCGGCCAUGCCGUAAAACACCCAACUUCUGAAUGUUGACCUCGAAUCAGGUAGGAAUACCCGCUGAACUUAAGCAUAUCAAUAAGCGGAGGA